This 74-nucleotide transfer RNA is filed under the name Alosa alosa (allis shad). RNAcentral describes it as "tRNA-OTHER". Lineage: Eukaryota; Metazoa; Chordata; Actinopteri; Clupeiformes; Clupeidae. The record is from RNAcentral.
GCAGCCGUGGCGCACUGGUUAGCGCUUAGGACUUGUAACCAGAAUGUUGCUGGUUCUGAACCCGACCAGUGGCA